CGUAGGUGACCUGCGGAAGGAUCAUUACCGAGUGAGGGCCCUCUGGGUCCAACCUCCCACCCGUGUUUAUUUUACCUUGUUGCUUCGGCGGGCCCGCCUUAACUGGCCGCCGGGGGGCUCACGCCCCCGGGCCCGCGCCCGCCGAAGACACCCUCGAACUCUGUCUGAAGAUUGAAGUCUGAGUGAAAAUAUAAAUUAUUUAAAACUUUCAACAACGGAUCUCUUGGUUCCGGCAUCGAUGAAGAACGCAGCGAAAUGCGAUACGUAAUGUGAAUUGCAAAUUCAGUGAAUCAUCGAGUCUUUGAACGCACAUUGCGCCCCCUGGUAUUCCGGGGGGCAUGCCUGUCCGAGCGUCAUUGCUGCCCUCAAGCCCGGCUUGUGUGUUGGGCCCCGUCCUCCGAUCUCCGGGGGACGGGCCCGAAAGGCAGCGGCGGCACCGCGUCCGGUCCUCGAGCGUAUGGGGCUUUGUCACCCGCUCUGUAGGCCCGGCCGGCGCUUGCCGAUCAACCCAAAUUUUUAUCCAGGUUGACCUCGGAUCAGGUAGGGAUACCCGCUGAACUUAAGCAUAUCAUA
RNAcentral lists this ribosomal RNA (573 nucleotides) under Penicillium sp. N32. Its description in RNAcentral is "eukaryotic LSU rRNA". The stretch from base 204 to 356 matches the Rfam family "5.8S ribosomal RNA". The record is from RNAcentral. Lineage: Eukaryota; Fungi; Ascomycota; Eurotiomycetes; Eurotiales; Aspergillaceae.